This is a long non-coding RNA of Mercenaria mercenaria, 857 nucleotides long. RefSeq lists it as uncharacterized. NCBI's taxonomy places the organism in Eukaryota, Metazoa, Mollusca, Bivalvia, Venerida, Veneridae. The transcript has 2 exons. The record is from RefSeq and is a predicted model, not a curated record.
AUUGGGUUUCCAUUAUAGUAUUUCGCAAUAUUGCAUCAGCCGGUUACGACUAGUUUUAUCAAUACACAUAACAUUCUUUACUGUUUUAAGUAUUAUAACGAAAAAAGUGGAAUUUAAACAACUGAAAUGUAUUCAAGAAUUCUACAAAGAUAUUAUUAGCCAGACGAAUUACAACGUGAAAAAUCCAAGACUUUAUAAAGACAACGAACGUUUAACACAAAAUAUAUCAUCGGAAGACUUCAAGAAAAGAAUGUUAACCAUAACAUGGUUGAAUAUCAUAAUAUUUUCAUGUUGUUAGAAUCACUCAACCGUUUGAGUAUGCCAUACUCAUACGCAUGGUUGAAUAUCAUAAUAUUUUCAUGUUGUUAGAAUCACUCAACCGUUUGAGUAUGCCAUACUCAUACGCAUGGUUGAAUAUCAUAAUACUUUCAUGUUGUUAGAAUCACUCAACCGUUUGAGUAUGUCAUAGGCAUAUGCAUGAUUGAAUAUCAUAAUACUUUUAUGUUAUGAAAAUCACUCAACCAUAGGAUUAUACCAUAAUCAUACACAUGACUUAAUGUUAUGAUAUUUUGAUGUUGUUGAAAUCACUCAACCGUUUGAGUAUGCCAUAGGCAUAUGCAUGAUUGAAUAUACGCUUUUGGGAGUAGUAUGGAAUAUAACGUUUAUGGGUGCAUUUUUGAAAGUAGUAAAGAAUAUUAUGUUUUUGAUACAUUUUAACCCUUUUUAUUAAAAUAAUUUAUAAUUGUUUGUUCAUUAUGUUUUACAUUGUUUACUCUCAGUGUUUUAUACAAUAAAUCAUAAAUGUUUAUACCAUUUUGUAACAUUUUAAUGAAAAAUAAACAAUAAUAACCACAAAA